RNAcentral lists this ribosomal RNA (1453 nucleotides) under Lacticaseibacillus rhamnosus. RNAcentral describes it as "bacterial SSU rRNA". It matches the Rfam family "Bacterial small subunit ribosomal RNA". The record is from RNAcentral. Lineage: Bacteria; Bacillati; Bacillota; Bacilli; Lactobacillales; Lactobacillaceae.
AGUCGAACGAGUUCUGAUUAUUGAAAGGUGCUUGCAUCUUGAUUUAAUUUUGAACGAGUGGCGGACGGGUGAGUAACACGUGGGUAACCUGCCCUUAAGUGGGGGAUAACAUUUGGAAACAGAUGCUAAUACCGCAUAAAUCCAAGAACCGCAUGGUUCUUGGCUGAAAGAUGGCGUAAGCUAUCGCUUUUGGAUGGACCCGCGGCGUAUUAGCUAGUUGGUGAGGUAACGGCUCACCAAGGCAAUGAUACGUAGCCGAACUGAGAGGUUGAUCGGCCACAUUGGGACUGAGACACGGCCCAAACUCCUACGGGAGGCAGCAGUAGGGAAUCUUCCACAAUGGACGCAAGUCUGAUGGAGCAACGCCGCGUGAGUGAAGAAGGCUUUCGGGUCGUAAAACUCUGUUGUUGGAGAAGAAUGGUCGGCAGAGUAACUGUUGUCGGCGUGACGGUAUCCAACCAGAAAGCCACGGCUAACUACGUGCCAGCAGCCGCGGUAAUACGUAGGUGGCAAGCGUUAUCCGGAUUUAUUGGGCGUAAAGCGAGCGCAGGCGGUUUUUUAAGUCUGAUGUGAAAGCCCUCGGCUUAACCGAGGAAGUGCAUCGGAAACUGGGAAACUUGAGUGCAGAAGAGGACAGUGGAACUCCAUGUGUAGCGGUGAAAUGCGUAGAUAUAUGGAAGAACACCAGUGGCGAAGGCGGCUGUCUGGUCUGUAACUGACGCUGAGGCUCGAAAGCAUGGGUAGCGAACAGGAUUAGAUACCCUGGUAGUCCAUGCCGUAAACGAUGAAUGCUAGGUGUUGGAGGGUUUCCGCCCUUCAGUGCCGCAGCUAACGCAUUAAGCAUUCCGCCUGGGGAGUACGACCGCAAGGUUGAAACUCAAAGGAAUUGACGGGGGCCCGCACAAGCGGUGGAGCAUGUGGUUUAAUUCGAAGCAACGCGAAGAACCUUACCAGGUCUUGACAUCUUUUGAUCACCUGAGAGAUCAGGUUUCCCCUUCGGGGGCAAAAUGACAGGUGGUGCAUGGUUGUCGUCAGCUCGUGUCGUGAGAUGUUGGGUUAAGUCCCGCAACGAGCGCAACCCUUAUGACUAGUUGCCAGCAUUUAGUUGGGCACUCUAGUAAGACUGCCGGUGACAAACCGGAGGAAGGUGGGGAUGACGUCAAAUCAUCAUGCCCCUUAUGACCUGGGCUACACACGUGCUACAAUGGAUGGUACAACGAGUUGCGAGACCGCGAGGUCAAGCUAAUCUCUUAAAGCCAUUCUCAGUUCGGACUGUAGGCUGCAACUCGCCUACACGAAGUCGGAAUCGCUAGUAAUCGCGGAUCAGCACGCCGCGGUGAAUACGUUCCCGGGCCUUGUACACACCGCCCGUCACCCCAUGAGAGUUUGUAACACCCGAAGCCGGUGGCGUAACCCUUUUAGGGAGCGAGCCGUCUAAGGUGGGACAAAUGAU